RNAcentral lists this ribosomal RNA (253 nucleotides) under uncultured bacterium. RNAcentral's name for it is "partial 16S ribosomal RNA". It matches the Rfam family "Bacterial small subunit ribosomal RNA", at positions 524 to 776 of the family's 1533-position model. The record is from RNAcentral.
UACGAAGGGAGCUAGCGUUGUUCGGAAUCACUGGGCGUAAAGCGCACGUAGGCGGAUGUGUCAGUCAGGGGUGAAAUCCCGGAGCUCAACUUCGGAACUGCCUUUGAUACAGCACGUCUUGAGUCCGAUAGAGGUGGGUGGAAUUCCUAGUGUAGAGGUGAAAUUCGUAGAUACUAGGAAGAACACCGGUGGCGAAGGCGGCCCACUGGAUCGGUACUGACGCUGAGGUGCGAAAGCGUGGGGAGCAAACAGG